UUUUAGAAGCUUUCGGCUGCUGCGUGCUACUCUCGUUCAGUAGUCUGCGUUUAACACAUUGCCCAUCCACACCGCCUGACGAGCAAUUCACCUCAAAACCAUGAGGCUGCAAGAUACGCAGCAAAACGGCAAUCAAGCCACAUAUAUGAGGAAGCACUCUGGCUCUCAGACAGUCCAGAAACGGGCCUCCAUGACCACAGAGUACCAGGAGAGGUUCCUUUCCCCACUCUGCUACAAGGCUAUCGUCUCAGCCCCAUCACAUAAAGGCCCUUACCAUGCACUGAAAGGGACGAGUGCAGAUGUGAGAUCAUACUAUUUGGUCCAAAAAAGGAUCCCAAAGGCCCCGCAGCCAUCUUUGCCACCCGUAGGCCACCGGUGUAGCAACCCCCUACAUAAUCAUACACGCUUAGUCGCAAACCAAAUGGCAUCCCAGUUGGAGGACAACACAUCAGUUCACCAAAGUAAACAAUUUGAAGAUGAUUUCAGAGCAUGGAAAGCAAACAAGUGCAGCUCCCAGAAAACUUCUGUUCAAGUUGCACCUAACUCUAAACCAGUCCCAAAGGGCCUGAAGACGGACGUGCAGAGCCUCCCCACGUUGCAGGAUCCCCCUGGCAAUGGAGUCAGAGUCCUUUUUGAGUAGGGUGAGACGCCGCACAGAGGUGCCAAAGCGUUCGUUAUGUGUGCUCAGACGCGCCACCUCUAAGUGUAGAAAGGAGAUAUCCUUGCGUAUGGAGUGGGCCUCUCUCAGGAUGUCGUCAAUAGGUGAGGAGUCCUCAAACACCACUGCCUGCUGGGGAAAAGUCUCCUUGUCUACAUCAUAGUCGGCUCCAAAAAACUCUGGCUCGCAGUCCUCCUGCUCCUCCCUAAUGGUCUGCAGCCUCUCCAACAAGUCCCGCAUUCUGCCUGAGAGACCAGUGCAAAACAAUGUGUUGGUUAUUGUGCUCAUCUCUAGUCUAGCUUUUGGUCUGAUGUAGUGUUGAAACAAUUCCAGGUGUUUAAGACAUUCAAAUAGAUACAAUUUAUAAUGCAAAAUUAGUAUCACAUGUGUUCUACAAGUUGGGUUGUAGGUCUCUUUUUAAUGGUAUAACCCUCCUCAUAGUGAUGAAAUGCAGUGUUUCCCAAAUUAUAAAAAGGUUGUCAUUUUCCCUUCAAG
This 1153-nucleotide long non-coding RNA is filed under the name Sander lucioperca (pikeperch). Its description in RNAcentral is "lncRNA (ENSSLUG00000011176.1)". The record is from RNAcentral. Lineage: Eukaryota; Metazoa; Chordata; Actinopteri; Perciformes; Percidae.